RNAcentral lists this microRNA precursor (60 nucleotides) under Branchiostoma floridae (Florida lancelet). RNAcentral describes it as "Bfl-Mir-4868-P2_pre stem-loop". The record is from RNAcentral. Lineage: Eukaryota; Metazoa; Chordata; Leptocardii; Amphioxiformes; Branchiostomatidae.
CUCAUCACACCGGAAGCUGUUACGUCACUUCCGCUGUAUCAGCUCCAGCUGUGAUGAGUG